GACGAACGCUGGCGGCGUGCUUAACACAUGCAAGUCGAACGGAAAGGCCCUGCUUUCGUGGGGUGCUCGAGGGGCGAACGGGUGAGUAACACGUGAGUAACCUGCCCUUGACUUUGGGAUAACUUCAGGAAACUGGGGCUAAUACCGGAUAGGAGCUCCUGCUGCAGGGUGGGGGUGGGAAAGUUUCGGCGGGUGGGGAUGGACUCGCGGGUGAUCAGCUUGUUGGUGGGGUAGUGGCUUACCAAGGCUUGGACGGGUAGCCGGCCUGGGAGGGUGACCGGCCUCAUUGGGACUGCGAUACGGCCCAGACGCCUACGUGAGGCAGCAGUGGGGAAUAUUGCACAAUGGGCGGACGCCUGAUGCAGCAACGCCGCGUGCGGGAUGACGGCCUUCGGGUUGUAAACCGCUUUCGCCUGUGACGAAGCGUGAGUGACGGUAAUGGGUAAAGAAGCACCGGCUAACUACGUG
Molecule: ribosomal RNA, 468 nt
Filed under: uncultured bacterium
Lineage: Bacteria
Description: partial 16S ribosomal RNA
Rfam family: Bacterial small subunit ribosomal RNA
Source: RNAcentral